This 1056-nucleotide ribosomal RNA is filed under the name Paraphaeosphaeria viciae. Its description in RNAcentral is "SSU rRNA". It matches the Rfam family "Eukaryotic small subunit ribosomal RNA", at positions 56 to 1127 of the family's 1831-position model. Lineage: Eukaryota; Fungi; Ascomycota; Dothideomycetes; Pleosporales; Didymosphaeriaceae. The record is from RNAcentral.
UGUCUAGUAUAAGCAUUAUACCGUGAAACUGCGAAUGGCUCAUUAAAUCAGUUAUCGUUUAUUUGAUAGUACCUUACUACUUGGAUAACCGUGGUAAUUCUAGAGCUAAUACAUGCUAAAAACCCCAACUUCGGGAGGGGUGUAUUUAUUAGAUAAAAAACCAAUGCCCUUCGGGGCUCCUUGGUGAUUCAUAAUAACUUCUCAGAUCGCAUGGCUUUACGCCGGCGACGGUUCAUUCAAAUUUCUGCCCUAUCAACUUUCGAUGGUAAGGUAUUGGCUUACCAUGGUUUCAACGGGUAACGGGGAAUUAGGGUUCGAUUCCGGAGAGGGAGCCUGAGAAACGGCUACCACAUCCAAGGAAGGCAGCAGGCGCGCAAAUUACCCAAUUCCGAUACGGAGAGGUAGUGACAAUAAAUACUGAUACAGGGCUCUUUUGGGUCUUGUAAUUGGAAUGAGUACAAUUUAAACCUCUUAACGAGGAACAAUUGGAGGGCAAGUCUGGUGCCAGCAGCCGCGGUAAUUCCAGCUCCAAUAGCGUAUAUUAAAGUUGUUGCAGUUAAAAAGCUCGUAGUUGAACCUUUGGCCUGGCUGGCAGGUCCGCCUCACCGCGUGCACUUGUCCGGCCGGGCCUUUUCUUCUGGAGAACCGCAUGCCCUUCACUGGGUGUGUUGGGGACCAGGACUUUUACUUUGAAAAAAUUAGAGUGUUCAAAGCAGGCCUUUGCUCGAAUACGUUAGCAUGGAAUAAUAGAAUAGGACGUGCGGUCCUAUUUUGUUGGUUUCUAGGACCGCCGUAAUGAUUAAUAGGGACAGUCGGGGGCAUCAGUAUUCAAUUGUCAGAGGUGAAAUUCUUGGAUUUAUUGAAGACUAACUACUGCGAAAGCAUUUGCCAAGGAUGUUUUCAUUAAUCAGUGAACGAAAGUUAGGGGAUCGAAGACGAUCAGAUACCGUCGUAGUCUUAACCAUAAACUAUGCCGACUAGGGAUCGGGCGGUGUUUCUAUUGUGACCCGCUCGGCACCUUACGAGAAAUCAAAGUGUUUGGGUCUGGGGAGUACG